ACCUAACUCGCUCAGUUGGUAGAGCUUGAAACUCUUGAUCUUGGGGUUGUGAGUUCAAGCCCCAUGCUGGGUG
Molecule: transfer RNA, 73 nt
Filed under: Canis lupus familiaris (dog)
Lineage: Eukaryota; Metazoa; Chordata; Mammalia; Carnivora; Canidae
Also listed under: 1 other name
Rfam family: tRNA
About the family: Transfer RNA (tRNA) molecules are approximately 80 nucleotides in length.
Source: Rfam by way of RNAcentral